GGAUGUGAGGGCAAUCUGGCUGCAACAUCUGUCACCCCACUGAUCGCCACGCCAAGGUUGAUUCGGCUGAUCUGGUUGGCUAGGCGGGUGUCCCCUUCCUCCCUCACCGCUCCAUAAGCAUCCCCCCUGAACCUGUGCGCUUGGUUCAAGAUGAUGGCCUUCUCUGAAUAGAUAUGGAUUGGUCUUCACUUGAGGGUGUACAGAUAGCUGCGCUUCCCUGCUAGAACCUCCAGAUAAGCUCUCAAGGACUGCAUUCUCUCUCCACAUGACCUUGCCUACUGAAGGAUGCAAAUCUGAUAAAUAUAGCCACAGCCAUGCACAUCUGAAAAACUAAGAGUGUGUUUU
Unclassified non-coding RNA from Erinaceus europaeus (western European hedgehog), 345 nucleotides. Its record names the gene 7SK. It matches the Rfam family "7SK RNA". Rfam says of the family: 7SK was discovered as an abundant small nuclear RNA in the mid-70s but a possible function has only recently been suggested. The record is from Ensembl. NCBI's taxonomy places the organism in Eukaryota, Metazoa, Chordata, Mammalia, Eulipotyphla, Erinaceidae.